AGCAGCGUGGCUCGGUGGAAAGAGCGCGGACUUGGGAGUCAGAGGUCAUGGGUUCGAAUCCCGGCUCUGCCA
This 72-nucleotide transfer RNA is filed under the name Ornithorhynchus anatinus (platypus). It matches the Rfam family "tRNA". Rfam says of the family: Transfer RNA (tRNA) molecules are approximately 80 nucleotides in length. Their secondary structure includes four short double-helical elements and three loops (D, anti-codon, and T loops). Lineage: Eukaryota; Metazoa; Chordata; Mammalia; Monotremata; Ornithorhynchidae. The record is from Rfam by way of RNAcentral.